RNAcentral lists this ribosomal RNA (624 nucleotides) under uncultured Verrucomicrobiota bacterium. RNAcentral describes it as "bacterial SSU rRNA". It matches the Rfam family "Bacterial small subunit ribosomal RNA", at positions 37 to 639 of the family's 1533-position model. The record is from RNAcentral. Lineage: Bacteria; Pseudomonadati; Verrucomicrobiota.
UGGCGGCGUGGUUAAGACAUGCAAGUCGAACGAGAUUACUUUUAGUAGCAAUACCGAGAGUAGUCUAGUGGCGAACGGGUGCGUAACACGUGGGCAAUUUGCCUUAAAGUGGGGGAUAGCUCGGCGAAAGCCGGAUUAAUACCGCAUGUGAUUACCGGAGACAUCUUCGGAACAUCAAAGUCGGGGCAACCUGACGCUUUUUGAGGAGCCCGCGGCCUAUCAGCUAGUUGGUGAGGUAAAGGCUCACCAAGGCUAUGACGGGUAGCUGGUCUGAGAGGACGACCAGUCACACUGGAACUGAGACACGGUCCAGACACCUACGGGUGGCAGCAGUCGAGAAUUUUUCUCAAUGGGGGAAACCCUGAAGGAGCGACGCCGCGUGGAGGAUGAAGGUCUUCGGGUUGUAAACUCCUGUCAUUUGGGAACAAUGCUUACGUAUUAACUGUACGUGAGUUGAUAGUACCAGAAGAGGAAGAGACGGCUAACUCUGUGCCAGCAGCCGCGGUAAUACAGAGGUCUCAAGCGUUGUUCGGAUUCAUUGGGCGUAAAGGGUGUGUAGGUGGCGCGCUAAGUCGGGUGUGAAAUUUCGGAGCUUAACUCCGAAACUGCAUUCGAUACUGGCGU